GUAGGUGGCAAGCGUUGUCCGGAAUUAUUGGGCGUAAAGCGCGCGCAGGCGGUUCUUUAAGUCUGAUGUGAAAGCCCACGGCUCAACCGUGGAGGGUCAUCGGAAACUGGAGAACUUGAGUACAGAAGAGGAAAGCGGAAUUCCACGUGUAGCGGUGAAAUGCGUAGAGAUGUGGAGGAACACCAGUGGCGAAGGCGGCUUUCUGGUCUGUAACUGACGCUGAGGCGCGAAAGCGUGGGGGAGCAAACAGGAUUAGAUACCCUGGUAGUCCACGCCGUAAACGAUGAGUGCUAAGUGUUAGGGGGUUUCCGCCCCUUAGUGCUGCAGCUAACGCAUCAAGCACUCCGCCUGGGAGUACGGCCGCAAGGCUG
RNAcentral lists this ribosomal RNA (371 nucleotides) under uncultured organism. Its description in RNAcentral is "partial 16S ribosomal RNA". It matches the Rfam family "Bacterial small subunit ribosomal RNA", at positions 527 to 896 of the family's 1533-position model. The record is from RNAcentral.